Molecule: long non-coding RNA, 211 nt
Filed under: Brassica napus (rape)
Lineage: Eukaryota; Viridiplantae; Streptophyta; Magnoliopsida; Brassicales; Brassicaceae
Description: long non-coding RNA (BNAP_LNC009022)
Source: RNAcentral
AAAUUUAGGAUUCUAAUAAAUAUAUAAAUAAAUAUUUAAAAAAUAUAUAAAAAAUUUUAAAAAAUAGUUUCAAACAUAAUUUUUGUUUUUCAAUAAAAAAGUAAAAAAAUUCGAAAAAAAAUUUCAAAAAAAAAAUUAUAAAAAGUUUGAAUUUGAAAAAGUAUAAUUCGAAAACAUAAUUUUUUUUACUUUUAUUUAUUUUUUCUUUUUA